Molecule: ribosomal RNA, 468 nt
Filed under: uncultured bacterium
Lineage: Bacteria
Description: partial 16S ribosomal RNA
Rfam family: Bacterial small subunit ribosomal RNA
Source: RNAcentral
GACGAACGCUGGCGGCGUGCUUAACACAUGCAAGUCGAACGGAAAGGCCCUGCUUUUGUGGGGUGCUCGAGUGGCGAACGGGUGAGUAACACGUUAGUAACCUGCCCUUUACUUUGGGAUAACUUCCGGAAACUGGGGCUAAUACCGGAUAGGAGCUCCUGCUGCAUGGUGGGGUUUGGAAAGUUUCGGCGGUUGGGGAUGGACUCGCGGCUUAUCAGCUUGUUGGUGGGGUAGUGGCUUACCAAGGCUUUGACGGGUAGCCGGCCUGCGAGGGUGACCGGCGACAUUGGGACUGAGAGACGGACCAGACGCGUACGGGAGGCAGCAGGGGGGAAUAUUGCACAAUGGGCGGAAGCCUGAUGCAGCAACGCCGCGUGCGGGAUGACGGCCUUCGGGUGGUAAACAGAUUUCGACUGUGACGAAGCGUGAGUGACGGUAAUGGGUAAAGAAGCACCGGCUAACUACGUG